Apis cerana (Asiatic honeybee) is the source of this 1381-nucleotide long non-coding RNA. RefSeq lists it as uncharacterized. The record is from RefSeq and is a predicted model, not a curated record. NCBI's taxonomy places the organism in Eukaryota, Metazoa, Arthropoda, Insecta, Hymenoptera, Apidae.
UCCGAUUCGACUCAACUCCGUUCUUCUUCUUCUCGUUCUUUCUCACUCUGGCACCCUUUCUCCGUCUCUCACCAACGUACCGGUGUGUAUUGGUGUAUCGGCACAUGAUUCAAACCUCUCCGUGCACUCUUCGCAUACACCGACGCACGUAUACAGGGUGGUGUCUUUUGAUUCGGAGAAGAGAACUCGAAGACCGUGGGAGCCGGCGCCCGGUUACCAAGAGGCGACGUGACGCCCCAACCUGUGACUUUGGCUAUGGAUUUCUGCUGUGGUUACCAUACUCCAAUUUCACGAUCAUUUUGCGACAGUGCGGCAUACUCGUAAAAAUCGAUAUGCAUACAUAUUGUAUGUAUACAUAUUACCGUGUAUUGAAAUUACAGUUUAAUGUAUCUUUUGUUACUUCCAUGACGAAUUCAAUGCAAUUUUUUAUGACAACGAAUUAUUUAUUAGUUUUAUAACAAUGAAUUAUUUAUAAACGACCAUUUAAUUCGCAAUCCUUCGACACGUUCCUAGCAUAGCAAUAGAAUACGUGUCUAUAUAUUUUGUAACUACAUACACCAUCAGAUGAAGGACGACAAUAAUUUUUUAUCAAAUCUGGAAACACGACUAAUAAACCAAACAAAAGAAAACCAAAAUAAUUCCUGGAAAUUUCACUAUUUGAAUAACUGUUUAUAUAGCGAAGCCAACGAUCCGACUAAUCCAUACGCAAAUACGAUGUACAAACUCGUGUAGAGAAGUGAAUCCGUUUCCGUUCGAAGACACCCGAUGUAUGCACGUGCACACGCUCGCAUAGGCGAAAAGAAUACGUGGCUGGGCAAGGUGAGGAACCGAGAGGGCACGACGAGGGCCCUGAGAAAGAGCGGUGCGAGCGACAAGGAUGGGAUGACGCCUAUGAAAAAGGACAAGGGGCGCGGUGGGAGGAUCGGGGGGACUAGCGGGAGGGAAACGAACGGGAGACCUUGCACAGCGUGGCUCGGAGCCGCGUAGAAAACGCCGCUUUGUGUUGGGGUAGCCUGUGCAUAAGAGAGGAAGUACAGGUUUAAAGGAAAAGAAGGCCCUCGUGCGUCUCCGCUGGCGGCGAUUCGCGUGCGUAAAGGCCUGUUCACACGGCAAUUCUCCGUUCUUGCUCUUUGAAAUAUCCACUCCAAUUGGGCUGAGCCGUGAUAUUCCACGCCCGUUCUUUUCUCAUCGUGUCGGAACUGUUUCUCACGGAAUUGUGGAGGUUACUGACUAACGACGAACAAAUUGGCGCGGGAAAAAAAUAUUUUCGAAAGGAAUUCAUGUUCAAAGUUUCAAAUUUUCUUUUCGUUUCUUAAUUUUAUAUAUUUGGAAAUUGAUGAAAAUUAUAUUGAGAAUUAUAUUAUAUUAUGUAUGAUGAAAA